AUGGCUCCCUCAAUCGCGCCGCCUUCUUCUCCUUCGUGCCUCCGUGGGAAACUCUUUACACGGUUCACUGGUACCAACAGUCAGCCCAUCAAUUCUGUCUUGCGCUGCGAUAUUUCAGUUUCACCAACUUUGGCAUCAAACAGCUUAAGGAGAACCAGUUCGCUUCACUUGGCAAAUAAUAAUCGAACCAAAAGCUUUCAUGUAUGUCAUGCUGGGGUUGAUCCUUCAGAACGUAUUGUUAUAAAUGGUCAGGCCAGUCCAUCUAAAACUGUUCAAGCUGAUGCUGCUGCAUUGGGGACCAUAGCUGCUGACAUGGCUCCUGUCGUCGAUGGGUUUUCAGCUGAUGAUGAUGAACUUGACCUAGAUUUGCCUACAGAGGGUUUCUCAUCUAUACCUGAAGCUAUUGAAGAUAUUCGCCAAGGAAAAUAUGUGAUUGUUGUGGAUGAUGAAGACAGGGAGAACGAAGGAGAUCUUAUAAUGGCAGCAUCCACGGUAACACCAGAGGCUAUGGCUUUCAUAGUGAGGCAUGGCACUGGGAUUGUAUGUGUCAGCAUGAAGGAAGAUGACCUGGAAAGACUACAACUUCCUCUUAUGGUAGUGGCAAAGGAAAAUGAAGAGAAGCUGCGGACAGCCUUUACUGUUUCAGUGGACGCUAAAGAGGGCACAACAACAGGGGUUUCAGCCAAGGAUCGGGCAAACACAGUUCUAGCACUUGCAUCUCCUUAUUCUAAGCCUGAGGACUUCAACCGUCCUGGACAUAUCUUUCCUCUUAAAUAUAGAGAAGGUGGUGUCCUCAAAAGGGCUGGGCAUACUGAAGCAUCAGUAGACCUUGCCAUGUUGGCUGGGUUACCUCCUGCUGCAGUUCUUUGUGAAAUUGUUGACGAUGAUGAUGGUUCCAUGGCUUUGUUGCCAAAGCUGAAAGAAUUUGCAGAGAGGGAGAACCUGAAGAUAGUCUCAAUUGCAGACUUGAUUAGAUAUAGGAGAAAGAGAGACAGACUGGUAGAACGUCUUUGUGUCACACCAUUACAAUUACAGUGGGGGUCAUUUGAAUCCUAUUGCUACCGAUCUCUUAUUGAUGGGAUGGAGCACAUUGCAAUGAUCAAGGGUGAUGUUGGGGAUGGCCAGGAUAUUCUAGUGAGAGUCCAUUCAGAGUGCCUAACUGGAGAUAUAUUUGGAUCGGCGAGGUGUGAUUGUGGGGGCCAACUUGCCCUGGCGAUGACCAUGAUCGAGAAGGCUGGUCGGGGUGUGGUGGUUUACCUACGUGGCCACGAAGGCAGGGGCAUUGGGCUGGGUCACAAGCUCCGGGCAUACAAUUUACAGGAUGCUGGACGGGAUACUGUUGAGGCUAAUGAGGAUCUUGGGUUGCCUGCCGACUCCCGGGAGUACGGUAUAGGCGCGCAGAUACUACGUGAUCUUGGCGUCCGAACCAUGAGGCUGAUGACUAACAACCCGGCGAAGUACACUGGACUCAAGGGCUACGGUUUAAGUGUCCUGGGAAGAGUGCCGCUGUUGACACCAAUAACUAAUGAGAAUCGGCGUUACAUGGAAACAAAGAGGUUGAAGAUGGGGCACAUCUACGAAGACCCUCCUAAUGGCCAUACAAGUGGCAUGAGUGACGAGGAGCAAUAUCAGGAGGAUAGUGGCAGCGAACAAGAUUAG
Molecule: ribosomal RNA, 1659 nt
Filed under: Triticum aestivum (bread wheat)
Lineage: Eukaryota; Viridiplantae; Streptophyta; Magnoliopsida; Poales; Poaceae
Description: partial small subunit ribosomal RNA
Source: RNAcentral